Non-coding RNA from Zootoca vivipara (common lizard), 72 nucleotides. The record is from the annotation of a RefSeq genome assembly. NCBI's taxonomy places the organism in Eukaryota, Metazoa, Chordata, Lepidosauria, Squamata, Lacertidae.
UGCGAUAGCUCAGUUGGUAGAACAUGAGACUCCUGAUCUCAGGGUCGUGGGUUCAAGUCCCACAUUGGGCAA